Neofelis nebulosa (Clouded leopard) is the source of this 552-nucleotide long non-coding RNA. RefSeq lists it as uncharacterized. The transcript is spliced from 5 exons. NCBI's taxonomy places the organism in Eukaryota, Metazoa, Chordata, Mammalia, Carnivora, Felidae. The record is from RefSeq and is a predicted model, not a curated record.
CUAGACUUUGGCCCCGCCUUCCCCACGGCUUUCCGGAGUCCGCUUAAAGGAGCCGCGCAGAGGAGCGUCCACAGGUUUCUCGGGCAGUAAAAGAAGGCAGGUGCGUGUCCUGAAAUGCAUGAAGUACAUCCUAGUGGAGAGUGCACACACAGAAGGAAGCAGCUACUCAGCCAUGCGGCACUGUAACUCCUAGGAAGAAUCAAGGAUUUCUGCAGCAAGGAAAUUGGAUACGGAUGAACACGAGGGAGGACACUGCUGGCCACUGAAGGGAAAGCCCAAUGUAGGCAGGAGGCCAGAAUGCACCAACGCUUUCAGGGGAUACAAUGACACAUAAAGCACAGACCGUGAGACCUGAGAGGAAGAAGAUAAAAGGAAGGCUGUGGAACCAGAGUGUUAAGAAAUCUCAUAGCUGACAAUUUGCUAGCAAAGAACAGGAUGCCUACAAAAUUCGUUAAGUGUCAGAUUUCACAGCUUCCUCUGCUCUGCCUAAAAAGGAAAACUCACAUCUUCAAGCUGUUACAAUAAAACUAUUGGCAGUAUGUAAAGUGAGAA